AAGUCGUAACAAGGUUUCCGUAGGUGAACCUGCGGAAGGAUCAUUAACACGUAGUUUUAAUUAACUCACGUAUUAACCAAACGCGAACUCUGUUAUUAUGCCUGUUCUUGGGGGGAGCCUGGCCGUAAGGGAAAGGGUGUGCAUGAGUGACCGGUGCUUCGCGCAUAGGGCUUGUGCUAACUUACGAGCCUCAGCGCUUAAAUUCGCGGGAAGCCCCAUUAAUAGUAGAAAAUCGUCGGCUAUUGUGGAGUCUGCACCAUGACUUGCAAUAUGCGGAAAUUAUUACCUACUCAUUUAUACUUAUUCUGACUUUGUACGUCAAAUUUGUGAAUUCCUGACUUUAACCGGUCGGUUGAGUUUGCGAAUCUUUGAUGUCGUAUAUUACUAAUACGAAACAACUCUUAGCAACGGAUAUCUUGGUUCUC
RNAcentral lists this unclassified non-coding RNA (425 nucleotides) under fungal sp. RNAcentral's name for it is "partial internal transcribed spacer region". The stretch from base 1 to 46 matches the Rfam family "Eukaryotic small subunit ribosomal RNA", at positions 1786 to 1831 of the family's 1831-position model. Lineage: Eukaryota; Fungi. The record is from RNAcentral.